GCGGGGAUGGCGGAAUUGGUAGACGCACUGGACUUAAAAUCCAGAGAUCGUAACGAUCGUGGGGGUUCGAGUCCCCCUCUCCGUACCA
Molecule: transfer RNA, 88 nt
Filed under: Alphaproteobacteria bacterium
Lineage: Bacteria; Pseudomonadati; Pseudomonadota; Alphaproteobacteria
Description: tRNA-Leu
Rfam family: tRNA
About the family: Transfer RNA (tRNA) molecules are approximately 80 nucleotides in length. Their secondary structure includes four short double-helical elements and three loops (D, anti-codon, and T loops).
Source: RNAcentral